GUCACCGUGUCCGAGUGGUUUAAGGAAGCAGUCUUGAAAACUGCCGAGGAUAACACCUCCCUGAGUUCGAAUCUCAGCGGUGACG
This 85-nucleotide transfer RNA is filed under the name Caudoviricetes sp. RNAcentral's name for it is "tRNA-Ser". It matches the Rfam family "tRNA". Rfam says of the family: Transfer RNA (tRNA) molecules are approximately 80 nucleotides in length. The record is from RNAcentral. Lineage: Duplodnaviria; Heunggongvirae; Uroviricota; Caudoviricetes.